This 506-nucleotide ribosomal RNA is filed under the name uncultured bacterium. RNAcentral describes it as "partial 16S ribosomal RNA". It matches the Rfam family "Bacterial small subunit ribosomal RNA", at positions 30 to 523 of the family's 1533-position model. The record is from RNAcentral.
AUUGAACGCUGGCGGCGUGCUUUACACAUGCAAGUCGAGCGGCAGCAUUGUUGGGUAACUAACAGAUGGCGAGCGGCGAACGGGUGAGUAAUACAUCGGAACGAACCUUUAAGAGUGGGAUAACUGAUCGAAAGAUGAGCUAAUACCGCAUAUAGUCUGAGGACAAAAGCUGGGGACUAGAAAUGGCCUGGCGCUAAGAGAUCGGCCGAUGGUUGAUUAGCUAGUUGGUGGGGUAAGAGCUUACCAAGGCGAUGAUCAAUAGCUGUUCUGAGAGGAGGAUCAGCCACACUGGGACUGAGACACGGCCCAGACUCCUACGGGAGGCAGCAGUGGGGAAUUUUGGACAAUGGGGGCAACCCUGAUCCAGCAACACCGCGUGAAUGAAGAAGGCCUUCGGGUUGUAAAGCACUUUAGUUGAGGAAGAAAAGUAAUGAGUGAAUAACUGAUUGCUCUGACGGUACCCAAAGAAUAAGCACCGGCUAACUCUGUGCCAGCCGCCGCAGUAA